UAAUGUAUGCAUAUUAUAUUAUAAGUCAAUUAUUUGUUAAAUUUUUUGUCAAUUAGAAAAGUAAUUUGAAAUUAAAAAUCAUUUGUUUUAGAAUCAAAUAAUGAACUUAAUAGAAAUUACAUCGAAUGAUUGAAAAGGGCCUAGAUUUGAAGUUAUCACUGCACAUUCACACGGGAUCCAAUUAAUUUGUUUAUAGUUAUACGACACUAUAAUAGAGAAAAUAUGUUUAUCAGCUUAAUUGCUGAUGUCGCCGGCGAGGCCAUGUGGUAUGGCCUCAGCAGUGGCGCAACUAGACUUUUGGAGGCCCUAAAUGCUAAAGUCAAAUAUAAAAUGGGGCUCCCUAGCAAAAAAUGUAUAUGGUCUUAAACAAUUAAGGGUACACGGUAUACCGCUUCCUCCCCACCCAUAAGGUUGGCUCCGAAAAUGCAUGACCAAUUUGGCUGAUUCUUUUUAUGAUGUGUUCGCAAUUAAUAAAGGUUAAUAUGAAAAUUUAA
This is a long non-coding RNA of Acyrthosiphon pisum (pea aphid), 494 nucleotides long. RefSeq lists it as uncharacterized. Lineage: Eukaryota; Metazoa; Arthropoda; Insecta; Hemiptera; Aphididae. The record is from RefSeq and is a predicted model, not a curated record. The transcript is spliced from 3 exons.